CAAUAGCGUAUAUUAAAGUUGUUGCGGUUAAAAGCUCGUAGUUGGAUUUCUGCUGAGGACGACCGGUCCGCCUCUGGGUGAGUAUCUGGUUCGGCCUGGGCAUCUUCUUGGAGAGCGUAGCUGCACUUGACUGUGUGGUGCGGUAUCCAGGACUUUUACUUUUGAGGAAAUUAGAGUGUUUCAAGCAGGCACACGCCUUGAAUACAUUAGCAUGGAAUAAUAAGAUAGGACCUCGGUUCUAUUUUGUUGGUUUCUAGAGCUGAGGUAAUGAUUAAUAGGGAUAGUUGGGGGUGCUAGUAUUGGCCGGCCAGAGGUGAAAUUCUUGGAUUCGG
RNAcentral lists this ribosomal RNA (332 nucleotides) under uncultured eukaryote. RNAcentral describes it as "SSU rRNA". It matches the Rfam family "Eukaryotic small subunit ribosomal RNA", at positions 592 to 929 of the family's 1831-position model. The record is from RNAcentral.